This 529-nucleotide ribosomal RNA is filed under the name Aeromonas sp. Tf 228. RNAcentral's name for it is "bacterial SSU rRNA". It matches the Rfam family "Bacterial small subunit ribosomal RNA", at positions 8 to 524 of the family's 1533-position model. Lineage: Bacteria; Pseudomonadati; Pseudomonadota; Gammaproteobacteria; Aeromonadales; Aeromonadaceae. The record is from RNAcentral.
AGAGUUUGAUCCUGGCUCAGAUUGAACGCUGGCGGCAGGCCUAACACAUGCAAGUCGAGCGGCAGCGGGAAAGUAGCUUGCUACUUUUGCCGGCGAGCGGCGGACGGGUGAGUAAUGCCUGGGGAUCUGCCCAGUCGAGGGGGAUAACUACUGGAAACGGUAGCUAAUACCGCAUACGCCCUACGGGGGAAAGCAGGGGACCUUCGGGCCUUGCGCGAUUGGAUGAACCCAGGUGGGAUUAGCUAGUUGGUGAGGUAACGGCUCACCAAGGCGACGAUCCCUAGCUGGUCUGAGAGGAUGAUCAGCCACACUGGAACUGAGACACGGUCCAGACUCCUACGGGAGGCAGCAGUGGGGAAUAUUGCACAAUGGGGGAAACCCUGAUGCAGCCAUGCCGCGUGUGUGAAGAAGGCCUUCGGGUUGUAAAGCACUUUCAGCGAGGAGGAAAGGUCAGUAGCUAAUAUCUGCUGGCUGUGACGUUACUCGCAGAAGAAGCACCGGCUAACUCCGUGCCAGCAGCCGCGGUAAU